RNAcentral lists this ribosomal RNA (463 nucleotides) under uncultured bacterium. Its description in RNAcentral is "bacterial SSU rRNA". It matches the Rfam family "Bacterial small subunit ribosomal RNA", at positions 331 to 792 of the family's 1533-position model. The record is from RNAcentral.
CCAGACUCCUACGGGAGGCAGCAGUGAGGAAUAUUGGUCAAUGGUCGGGAGACUGAACCAGCCAAGCCGCGUGAGGGAUGAAGGUACAGAGUAUCGUAAACCUCUUUUGUCAGGGAACAAAGGCGGGGACGUGUCCCCGGAUGAGUGUACCUGAAGAAAAAGCAUCGGCUAACUCCGUGCCAGCAGCCGCGGUAAUACGGAGGGUGCGAGCGUUAUCCGGAUUUAUUGGGUUUAAAGGGUGCGUAGGCGGAGUGUCAAGUCAGCGGUAAAAUUUCGGGGCUCAACCCCGUCGUGCCGUUGAAACUGACGCCCUUGAGUGAGUGAGAAGUAAGCGGAAUGCGUGGUGUAGCGGUGAAAUGCAUAGAUAUCACGCAGAACGCCGAUUGCGAAGGCAGCAUACCGGCGCCCAACUGACGCUGAAGCACGAAAGCGUGGGUAUCGAACAGGAUUAGAUACCCGCGUA